UGGUGACGAAGAAGACAACGAUCAAGACGGUUUAGUAGAUGAAGAUAACUGUCUGUAUUUUAAGGACGAUUACAAAGCUGAAGUGCCGUCUGACCUUGACCUAGAUGGCUCAGAUGGAGAAGACUGUAAAGGAUGUCCUGGGGGUGAGGGUAUGAACAUGUUUUUAACUUGUGAAGCAUGUGAUUAUGGAUUUUACCGUGAAAGAAAGUCGUGGAAGCUCAGAUGUCAGUCUUGUGGAGAGAAUUACACUACAUUUUAUCAAAGCAGUAGCUCACAAAAUGACUGUGUCCCCAUUUGCACUGAGGGAAUGCAGCUUAAUAACGAUACGUCGAACAAUG
Molecule: long non-coding RNA, 338 nt
Organism: Saccostrea cuccullata (small rock oyster)
Lineage: Eukaryota; Metazoa; Mollusca; Bivalvia; Ostreida; Ostreidae
Exons: 4
Source: RefSeq, a predicted model, not a curated record